Long non-coding RNA from Brachypodium distachyon (stiff brome), 781 nucleotides. RefSeq lists it as uncharacterized. NCBI's taxonomy places the organism in Eukaryota, Viridiplantae, Streptophyta, Magnoliopsida, Poales, Poaceae. The transcript is spliced from 3 exons. The record is from RefSeq and is a predicted model, not a curated record.
GAAGAAGCCAAAAGACAGGACACAUAAAGUGGUGGGGUUGUCGGUCAGAGAGAUUCUGGGGAGAGGGAAGAAAAUAUCUGGUCUUCUUCUUCCCCGACGAGAAGUUCUUCCUCAUAACCUCCAUUGUCCCGACCUUGCGACGGAUUUGGGUUUCGCGUUUCUCGAUUCUUCCGUAACUUUGAAUAGAAGUGUACAGGUUCUUCCUCCUCGCUUUUCUCGAUUCUGUCGCAAGUACAAUUCUACUGGAGAGGCAUGGAAGUAAUAGAAGUACCAUCUAGAUUUAUUGUCCCUCCGGAAGAAUCUUCGUCAGAAUGCAGCGCUGCUCCAUGCAUAAACAGAUCGCGAGGACGGAGUAGCGCUGGUAGAGCCAAGGAUAUUCCAUAGUAUGCGGGCGAAGCUUCAAUAGCAGAGUGGACUGAAAUUGGUGCUUCAGGUUCGGUAGACGAUGCAGAUGAUGUUGGGUUUACUGCAACGUCUCGAAGGAAAAAGUUUGAUGCUGGACCAGAAGCACGUGUUUCUGUGCCUGGUAGACCUUGUCCUCUUGAGAAUGCAUUGCGUGGUUUUGCACAGAGGAGCACUGAAGAAAUUCUGUAACCCAAAUUGGUCUUUGCUUUGACUCAUUAGCUGAGGCUUACGAGUACAUCAAUCUAUAUUCAUGGGAAGUUGGGUUUGGCAUUCGUUAUAGCAGAAGCAAAAGCUAUAAGUGCAAAUCUGGUCCUAAGAAGGAUGUCGUGUACCAAACACUGCAGUAUAUUGUUUGUGGAUGCGAGGUAUAUUUUUU